CUGCUGCCUUCCGUAGGAGUCUGGGCCGUGUCUCAGUCCCAAUGUGGCCGGCCAACCUCUCAGUCCGGCUACUGAUCGUCGCCUUGGUGGGCCGUUGCCCCACCAACUAGCUAAUCAGACGCGAGUCCAUCUCAGAGCGAUAAAUCUUUGACGUCCAGUGCCAUGCGACACAGACGUUUUAUGCGGUAUUAGCAGCUGUUUCCAGCUGUUAUUCCCCACUCCAAGGCAGGUUACUCACGCG
Molecule: ribosomal RNA, 241 nt
Filed under: uncultured bacterium
Lineage: Bacteria
Description: partial 16S ribosomal RNA
Source: RNAcentral